This 462-nucleotide ribosomal RNA is filed under the name uncultured bacterium. RNAcentral describes it as "bacterial SSU rRNA". It matches the Rfam family "Bacterial small subunit ribosomal RNA", at positions 28 to 481 of the family's 1533-position model. The record is from RNAcentral.
GAUGAACGCUAGCUACAGGCUUAACACAUGCAAGUCGAGGGGGCAGCAUGAAGUUUGCUUGCAAACUUUGAUGGCGACCGGCGGAUGGGUGAGUAACGCGUACCCAACCUGCCCCCUUCCCGGGCACAGCCCUUGGAAACGAGGAUUAACGCCCGAUGGCGUCUGGAUGCCGCAUGGCAUUCCGACCAAAUGCGAAGGAAGGGGAUGGGGGUGCGUCCCAUUAGCUAGUUGGCGGGGUAACGGCCCACCAAGGCAUCGAUGGGUAGGGGUUCUGAGAGGAAGGUCCCCCACACUGGAACUGAGACACGGUCCAGACUCCUACGGGAGGCAGCAGUGAGGAAUAUUGGUCAAUGGAGGCAACUCUGAACCAGCCAAGUAGCGUGAGGGAUGACUGCCCUACGGGUUGUAAACCUCUUUUGUCGGGGAAUAACUGCGCCACGUGUGGCGCCCUGCAUGUACCCG